AUGUCUGCGCAUCUGCAAUCGGUGAUCAUGCGGAACUGCUCCAGUUUCCUGAUCAAGAGGAAUAAACACACCUACAGCACCGAGCCCAAUAACUUGAAGGCCCGCAACUCCUUCCCGCUACAACCGGCUGAUUCACUGCAAGACUGUGGGCGUGGAGCCGGCAGCCCAUGGCAGAGGUGUCCUGGUGGUCACGAAGCGGAGAUCCGGCCAGCGGACGCCUGCCAUCUCCUACGUGCGGACCAUCAUCAACAAGAACGCUGGAGCCAAACUCAGCAGCAUCAGAUACAUGAUCCGCAAGAACAAGUACCGCCCUGACCUGCCAUGGCUGCCAUCAGCAAGGCCAGCGCCAUCCUGCGCAGCCAGACGUCUGUGAUGGUGAAGAGGAAGCUGACCAGCCCCACAAAGAGCUUGUGA
RNAcentral lists this long non-coding RNA (414 nucleotides) under Homo sapiens (human). Its description in RNAcentral is "non-protein coding lnc-SLC7A14-2:1". Lineage: Eukaryota; Metazoa; Chordata; Mammalia; Primates; Hominidae. The record is from RNAcentral.